Molecule: ribosomal RNA, 492 nt
Filed under: uncultured bacterium
Lineage: Bacteria
Description: partial 16S ribosomal RNA
Rfam family: Bacterial small subunit ribosomal RNA
Source: RNAcentral
AGUGAACGCUGGCGGUAGGCCUAGCACAUGCAAGUCGAACGGCAGCACAGUAAGAGCUUGCUCUUACGGGUGGCGAGUGGCGGACGGGUGAGGAAUACAUCGGAAUCUACUUUUUCGUGGGGGAUAACGUAGGGAAACUUACGCUAAUACCGCAUACGACCUACGGGUGAAAGCAGGGGAUCUUCGGACCUUGCGCGAUUGCAUGAGCCGAUGUCGGAUUAGCUAGUUGGCGGGGUAAAGGCCCACCAAGGCGACGAUCCGUAGCUGGUCUGAGAGGAUGAUCAGCCACACUGGAACUGAGACACGGUCCAGACUCCUACGGGAGGCAGCAGUGGGGAAUAUUGGACAAUGGGCGCAAGCCUGAUCCAGCCAUACCGCGUGGGUGAAGAAGGCCUUCGGGUUGUAAAGCCCUUUUGUUGGGAAAGAAAAGCAGCAGGUUAAUACCCCGCUGUUCUGACGGUACCCAAAGAAUAAGCACCGGCUAACUUCGUG